This 468-nucleotide ribosomal RNA is filed under the name uncultured bacterium. RNAcentral's name for it is "partial 16S ribosomal RNA". It matches the Rfam family "Bacterial small subunit ribosomal RNA", at positions 28 to 507 of the family's 1533-position model. The record is from RNAcentral.
GACGAACGCUGGCGGCGUGCCUAACACAUGCAGGUCGAACGGAAAGGCCCUGCUUUUGUGGGGUGCUCGAGUGGCGAACGGGUGAGUAACACGUGAGUAACCUGCCCUUGACUUUGGGAUAACUUCAGGAAACUGGGGCUAAUACCGGAUAGGAGCUCCUGCUGCAUGGUGGGGGUUGGAAAGUUUCGGCGGUUGGGGAUGGACUCGCGGCUUAUCAGCUUGUUGGUGGGGUAGUGGCUUACCAAGGCUUUGACGGGUAGCCGGCCUGAGAGGGUGACCGGCCACAUUGGGACUGAGAUACGGCCCAGACUCCUACGGGAGGCAGCAGUGGGGAAUAGUGCACAAUGGGCGGAAGCCUGAUGCAGCAACGCCGCGUGCGGGAUGACGGCCUUCGGGUUGUAAACCGCUUUCGCCUGUGACGAAGCGUGAGUGACGGUAAUGGGUAAAGAAGCACCGGCUAACUACGUG